AACGCACAUUGCGCCCGCCAGCAUUCUGGCGGGCAUGCCUGUUCGAGCGUCAUUUCAACCCUCGCAGCCCAUCUGGGCAGCGGUGUUGGGGACCGGCACCACCGGCGAAGCCCUUAGGGACCCAGCCGGCGCCGCCCCCGAAAUACAGUGGCGGUCUCGCUGCAGCCUCCCUUGCGUAGUAGCACACCUCGCACCGGAGCGCAGCGCGGCCACGCCGUAAAACCCCCGACUUUCUGAGUUUGACCUCGAAUCAGGUAGGAAUACCCGCUGAACUUAA
This 277-nucleotide unclassified non-coding RNA is filed under the name uncultured Hypocreales. RNAcentral's name for it is "sequence contains ITS2". Lineage: Eukaryota; Fungi; Ascomycota; Sordariomycetes; Hypocreales. The record is from RNAcentral. RNAcentral also lists the same sequence under 1 other name.